GCAAAGGCCCUUUUUAGGGCCACUAAAAUUUGAUUACCGUCUCCU
Schistosoma curassoni is the source of this 45-nucleotide non-coding RNA. Lineage: Eukaryota; Metazoa; Platyhelminthes; Trematoda; Strigeidida; Schistosomatidae. The record is from Rfam.